UUGACCUCGGAUCAGGUAGGGAUACCCGCUGAACUUAAGCAUAUCAAAAGCCCG
Molecule: ribosomal RNA, 54 nt
Filed under: Fusarium sp. TPSH4
Lineage: Eukaryota; Fungi; Ascomycota; Sordariomycetes; Hypocreales; Nectriaceae
Description: partial 28S ribosomal RNA
Source: RNAcentral